Molecule: ribosomal RNA, 468 nt
Filed under: uncultured bacterium
Lineage: Bacteria
Description: partial 16S ribosomal RNA
Rfam family: Bacterial small subunit ribosomal RNA
Source: RNAcentral
GACGAACGCUGGCGGCGUGCUUAACACAUGCAAGUCGAACGGAAAGGCCCUGCUUUUGUGGGGUGCUCGAGUGGCGAACGGGUGAGUAACACGUGAGUAACCUGCCCUUGACUUUGGGAUAACUUCAGGAAACUGGGGCUAAUACCGGAUAGGAGCUCCUGCUGCAUGGGGGGGUUUGGAAAGUUUCGGCGGUUGGGGAUGGACUCGCGGCUUAUCAGCUUGUUGGUGGGGUAGUGGCUUACCAAGGCUUUGACGGGUAGCCGGCCUGAGAGGGUGACCGGCCACAUUGGGACUGAGAUACGGCCCAGACUCCUACGGGAGGCAGCAGUGGGGAAUAUUGCACAAUGGGCGGAAGCCUGAUGCAGCAACGCCGCGUGCGGGAUGACGGCCUUCGGGUUGUAAACCGCUUUCGCCUGUGACGAAGCGUGAGUGACGGUAAUGGGUAAAGAAGCACCGGCUAACUACGUG